This 582-nucleotide ribosomal RNA is filed under the name Dietzia sp. Its description in RNAcentral is "bacterial SSU rRNA". It matches the Rfam family "Bacterial small subunit ribosomal RNA", at positions 287 to 878 of the family's 1533-position model. The record is from RNAcentral. Lineage: Bacteria; Bacillati; Actinomycetota; Actinomycetes; Mycobacteriales; Dietziaceae.
CCGGCCUGAGAGGGUGAUCGGCCACACUGGGACUGAGACACGUGUCCCAGACUCCUACGGGAGGCAGCAGUGGGGAAUAUUGCACAAUGGGCGCAAGCCUGAUGCAGCGACGCCGCGUGGGGGAUGACGGUCUUCGGAUUGUAAACCCCUUUCAGUAGGGACGAAGCGCAAGUGACGGUACCUGCAGAAGAAGCACCGGCUAACUACGUGCCAGCAGCCGCGGUAAUACGUAGGGUGCGAGCGUUGUCCGGAAUUACUGGGCGUAAAGAGCUCGUAGGCGGUUUGUCACGUCUGCUGUGAAAUCCCUCGGCUUAACCGGGGGCGUGCAGGCGAUACGGGCAGACUUGAGUACUACAGGGGAGACUGGAAUUCCUGGUGUAGCGGUGAAAUGCGCAGAUAUCAGGAGGAACACCGGUGGCGAAGGCGGGUCUCUGGGUAGUAACUGACGCUGAGGAGCGAAAGCAUGGGUAGCGAACAGGAUUAGAUACCCUGGUAGUCCAUGCCGUAAACGGUGGGCGCUAGGUGUGGGGUCCUUCCACGGACUCCGUGCCGUAGCUAACGCAUUAAGCGCCCCGCCUGGGG